Molecule: long non-coding RNA, 243 nt
Filed under: Phoenix dactylifera (date palm)
Lineage: Eukaryota; Viridiplantae; Streptophyta; Magnoliopsida; Arecales; Arecaceae
Description: long non-coding RNA (PDAC_LNC007554)
Source: RNAcentral
AGUCUUGAAAAUUAGAGUGAUCAUGUGGAAGUAAGUGAAAGCCACUCAUUUAUAUGAUACUAUCUUGCACCUCACUACAUUCUUGACUUGUUAGCAAAUAAAUGGGGAGUAAUGGAACUUGAGUUAGAGUCUGCUUAAAUAUGAUAGCAAUAAGUCUUUAUUAUCCUUGCAAUUCUAAGUUCAUACAAUAAUACUUGUUCAAAUUUUGAGUUAAACAUUAGAAAUCCCUGACUAAUGAAGUUU